AAAUAGCCCCGAUGGGAGCAAGUAUCCUUUUUAUAAAUGUAACCCGAUAGGGUUGCGUUUAUAAAAAGAUACUGUGGACAGCGGGACAACUC
Molecule: small RNA, 92 nt
Filed under: Flavobacterium sp. 120
Lineage: Bacteria; Pseudomonadati; Bacteroidota; Flavobacteriia; Flavobacteriales; Flavobacteriaceae
Description: Flavo-1 RNA
Rfam family: Flavo-1 RNA
Source: RNAcentral